UUUGAAGGUCGGACUGUGGCUCAAUUUUCUUUUUAUAAAAGUAAAAUUGAGAGGAAAGUCCAGGCAGCAGAAAACACGGUGGCGUAUGUAAAUGCGCUCCCCCCGUCAAAAAUUGCAUAUUUAGGCGGGGGGCAAGUCAGAGCAACAGUGACGAAUUUCUCUCCGCCUUGGUGGAGUGAGAAAGUGAAACGCUGACUAAUAGUCAGACGUUCUAGGUUUGAAAACCUGGAACUGUGGCAAUCCUCCCGGCUGCAAUCUUCGACUGAUUCGUUUAGGAUGUUUUCCCGAUCCCGCUUUGGUGGGACGAAUCAAAGUUAGAGAGCUUAGAGAAAUCACAGUCGAUAACAGAACCUGGCUUAUAGAUCUUUGAAGCAA
This 375-nucleotide RNase P RNA is filed under the name Candidatus Beckwithbacteria bacterium. Its description in RNAcentral is "RNase P RNA component class A". It matches the Rfam family "Bacterial RNase P class A". Rfam says of the family: Ribonuclease P (RNase P) is a ubiquitous endoribonuclease, found in archaea, bacteria and eukarya as well as chloroplasts and mitochondria. Its best characterised activity is the generation of mature 5'-ends of tRNAs by cleaving the 5'-leader elements of precursor-tRNAs. Lineage: Bacteria; Candidatus Beckwithiibacteriota. The record is from RNAcentral.